UACAGAGGGGGCUAGCGUUGUUCGGAAUUACUGGGCGUAAAGGGCGCGUAGGUGGCCUGUUAAGUCGAACGUGAAAUCCCCGGGCUCAACCCGGGAACUGCGUCCGAGACUGGCAGGCUCGAAUCCGGGAGAGGGAUGUGGAAUUCCAGGUGUAGCGGUGAAAUGCGUAGAUAUCUGGAGGAAUACCGGUGGCGAAGGCGGCAUCCUGGACCAUUACUGACGCUGAGGCGCGAAAGCUAGGGGAGCAAACAGG
RNAcentral lists this ribosomal RNA (253 nucleotides) under uncultured bacterium. Its description in RNAcentral is "partial 16S ribosomal RNA". It matches the Rfam family "Bacterial small subunit ribosomal RNA", at positions 524 to 776 of the family's 1533-position model. The record is from RNAcentral.